RNAcentral lists this ribosomal RNA (422 nucleotides) under uncultured bacterium. RNAcentral's name for it is "partial 16S ribosomal RNA". It matches the Rfam family "Bacterial small subunit ribosomal RNA", at positions 360 to 775 of the family's 1533-position model. The record is from RNAcentral.
AAUAUUGGACAAUGGGCGAAAGCCUGAUCCAGCCAUCGCGCGUGUAUGAUGAAGGCCUUUGGGUUGUCUAGUACUUUUGGCAGAGAAGAAAAGGUAUCUCCUAAUACGAGAUACUGCUGACGGUAUCUGCAGAAUAAGCUCCGGCCUACCACGUUCCAGCAGCCGCAGUAAUACGUAGGGUGCAAACGUUAAUCGGAAUUACUUGGCGUAAAGUGAAUGUGAGCGGUUCGGAAAGAAAGAUGUGAAAGCCCAGGGCUCAACCUAGGAACUGCAUUUUUAACGGCAAGGCUAGAGUGUGUCAGAGGUGGUAGAAGUCCACGUGUAGCAGUGAAAGGCGUAGAUAUGUGGAGGAAUACCGAUGGCGAAGGCAGACCCAUGGGAUAAUACUGACGCUCAGACACGAAAGCGUAGGGAGCAAACAG